Molecule: long non-coding RNA, 1813 nt
Organism: Oreochromis niloticus (Nile tilapia)
Lineage: Eukaryota; Metazoa; Chordata; Actinopteri; Cichliformes; Cichlidae
Exons: 4
Source: RefSeq, a predicted model, not a curated record
GCGCUCCAAAAUUAAUAUUCAUAUGAGAACCUGUGAUGUCCAGACGGUGUUCCUCUUGUGUUCUGCUGUAGAAACUUUGGGCUUAGGGAUUAACAUAGUUGCCAUGGUUUUCUCUCUUAUCUUAUUUGUUGUGUGUGAUCAGGACAAUUCUGGAGAAGAUGGGCCUGCAGGGGACAGUCACCCCCUUGCAGGCUUGAAAGAAAUGGGAUAACCUAAAGAAAAAAUACAAAGAUUGCAAGUAUCCAGGCUCAGGAGAGGGGGUCAGUGGGAAGCCCACUGCUGCUACUUGGCCCUGGUUUGCCCUCAUGGAUGAGGUGAUAGGACAGAUGCCUUCCAUUAAGCCUCCUGUCCUAAUGUCCUCUCUCCCCGAGGACACUCCAGGGCCAAGCACAGCAGUGGGUGACCAAAACGACAGCGAUGACGAAGCGGCUCAGCCACCUACGACAGGGAGAAAGAGGAAAAGAGAUGAUGAGCUGCUAGACCUCAUCAGAGAGGACAUGAGGCAGCAAAGAGAGGCUGAGGAGAGGAGAGCAGGGAGAGGACGGACAGACUGUUUUCACUUCUUCAAAGAUUAGUUCCAAAAUGAGAAAUAUUACAGGAAGUCUCUGGCUGUGUUGCUGAAUCUGCUGGAGCAAGAUCAGACGUGGAUGGAUGGGAUGUUGCAACUGAGACCUGCGGUUUGUCUUUUCUGGUCUGCGAGUGGAGAAUCACACAGGGUGGUCUGCAAAGAGCUUUAGGAUGCUUCCUCCCACUGUCCACUGCAUCAUCCAUCCACCGGGUUUGCAGGGCUGGCUCACUCGACGGCUGCCACACCACUAAGAUGUUUUCAGAAAUAUGCAAGCAGGAGAUGAUGGAUGCUUUAUUACUACUAGAAUAAUACUUGUAACUCUGUAGGAGACAACAGAGCAACAUUUCUGGGUCCAUUUUCCAAGUUUUUGCGCUGUGGCGCUAGCGACCAGAAAAACACGGAAGGGCAGACUUGAGGGUAGAAGCCUGUCCAAUUUCACAACCGCUCACUUCCAUCCUACCCUGCCAUAGGAGGCCCCAUUCUACGUGGACCGGAAAAGUGUCACAGAGAGAAAAUGAGUCAAGGGGGUCUCCUGGUGGACACACACAGACAUGACAAGAAGACUUAGGUGCAGAGGGGCAACAAACAGCUGGAAACAGCUGCUGGAAAGGAUUGGGAUGCUUCAGACAAACACACAACGCACACUUUUUUAUCUGACAUUACCCAGCAUGCAUCAGCUGCUCCAUCACAGUGAGAACAGACAGAACAGCCUCAGUGCUGCUGUGUAAACUCACAGACAUUCAUCAACACAGACUCAGUACAGAGGAUGCUUCCUCCCACAGAAAGGAUCCAGCUCAAGUCUCACUGACGUCUCUCAGACGGCAGCACCAGAGCCUACUUUGGUUUCCUCAGCUUCUGCAUUUAAACACGACAAUGCUAGAAGUUUAUUUCACACCAGUUUUUCUUUCUCAUAUUGUUUUAUAGAAAUGUACAAACUGAUGUUGUGACUCUGUGAGAAACCAGCCUCAGUCUGGAUUCAACUUCUUGUUUGCCUUUAAUUCAUGAGAUUCACACAGAUGUUCAUGUAGUGUAGCUGCAGGUCCACAAACUAUCUGAAAAUGUCACGGUGAAGAACUUUGAAUGUAUUUCUGAGCUUUGUGGUUGUUUUUGCUCAUCCAAUCAGCAUCAUUCAUAUUUCCUCAGCAUACACCUGAAUUUGGACACAGUCUUUGUCUCAGUGCUGUUGUUGGUCUUUGUGUGUUUCCUGCUGAGUUUGCUGGAUUUAGCUGUUUCUUUGAAUGGACU